RNAcentral lists this long non-coding RNA (833 nucleotides) under Nicotiana tabacum (common tobacco). RNAcentral describes it as "long non-coding RNA (NTAB_LNC015005)". The record is from RNAcentral. Lineage: Eukaryota; Viridiplantae; Streptophyta; Magnoliopsida; Solanales; Solanaceae.
GUUUCCACGAAACUCCCUUUUAUCUUCUACUAAAACAAGAAAAUUCAAAAAAAAAGAGGUCGCUUAGUAUUCUCGAACUUUGUCCCCAGCCAAUCAGCAUUAGGGUUUUAAACCCUGAACUGAACUUUUUCCUUUAGUCAGCAUUAGGGUUUUAAAACCAUAAACUGAGCUUUUUCCAUGCAAUCAGCAUUAGGGUUUUAAACCUUAAACUGAGCUUUUCCAUUUAGUCAGCAUUAGGGUUUUAAACCUUAAACUGAGCUUUUCCAUUUAGUCAGCAUUAGGGUUUUAAACCCUAAACUGAGCUUUUCUAUGCAAUCAGCAUUAGGGUUUUAAACACCUAAACUGAAUUUUUCCUUUAGUCAGCAUUAGGGUUUUAAACCCUAAACUGAACUUUUUUCCUUUCAGCCAUCAUUAGAGUUUUAAACCCUAAACUGAGCUUUUCCAUGCAGUCAGCAUUAGGGUUUUAAACCCUAAACUGACAUUUUUCCUUUAAUCAGCAUUAGGGUUUUAAACCCUAAACUGAACUCUUUCCUUUCAGCCAGCAUUAGGGUUUUAAACCCUAAACUGAGCUUUUCCAUGCAAUCAGCAUUAGGGUUUUAAACACCUAAACUGAGCUUUUCCAUGCAGUCAGCAUUAGGGUUUUAAACCCUAAACUGAAUUUUUCCUUUUAGUCAGCAUUAGGGUUUUAAACCCUAAACUGAACUCUUUCCAUUCAGCCAGCAUUAGGGUUUUAAACCCUAAACUGAGUUUUUUCCGUUCAGCCAGCAUUAGGGUUUUAAACUCUAAACUGAGCUUUUCUAUUUAGUCAACAUUAGGGUUUUAAACCCUAAACU